Cyprinus carpio carpio is the source of this 3547-nucleotide long non-coding RNA. The record is from Ensembl. NCBI's taxonomy places the organism in Eukaryota, Metazoa, Chordata, Actinopteri, Cypriniformes, Cyprinidae.
AUGUCUGAUCUUGAGAUGGACCGUCUCCUGAAUGAGAUGAGUGACCUUGUCGAUCAGGCUGAACAUCAAGCUCACCUCCAACAGCUCAUUAGCAUGCACCAGGAAGCAGAACCAUCCACCGGUCAGCCUUCCACCAGUAAUCCAUCCACCAGCCCGGCCAUCAAAAAAAGCAAGCAAGGCGUUAGGUGGAUUAAGAGGGACAGUGAUGGAAACAUUAUUUACGGCAGGCCCAGAUCAUCCCGGAAACAAGCAGGUAGUCCCAGUCACAGCCAGAGUCGAAAGACUGGUGUCUCUCAUAUCAGGGCUCCUGAAACCAGUGCGGAAAUGACCAGUGACUUUCCUUCCGUUACUGCAGAGUCCUUCCUUCAAGAGCUUAAAAGCUCACUGUUUGAGGAAAUACAUGAGGAUGAAACGGUACUUCAAGCCUCAACAGACUGGUCGACCCGAAAGAGCCUCAUAUCAGGGUGGUGGGAGAAAGAGAGACCCCGACUGGUCAACACCAUGGUGGCUGGACAACAUGCGGCAACUCGGAUCUGCCAACAUUGUGGAAAUGGUCCAGCCGUAAUCCGUUGUUGUGACUGCCGACCACACCCAUUCCUCUGUGGCCAGUGUGAUGUCAGGGUCCACCGAGGUCAAGUGUUCCACAACAGGGAUUCGAUGACACAUGCAUUCUUUCAUCCAUUGCCUCCCACAACUUGUGUUGUGGAGAGGGUUCUAACCCAGUGUGGUAAGUUGUAGUUUUUAAAAGUCACAUUCUUAGACUUGACUGAAAAACUGAUAGGUCGAUGAAGCAGUCAAGUACAUCUUGUUUAAAAUAGUUGCCAGUAAAUAAAUGUUAUUUUUUAAUGCUUAUCCAUGUGUUUUUUGUUUUUUAAGAGCGUCUUGUACCUUUGGAGAUGCCAGAGACAAUAUGCGGUUGUCUACGAGUAUCGUCCAGUGUCAUCGCAGGACAGUCCAUAGUUGUGGUUACAAUGAAUGGUAAGAAGAACUUUAUGGGUUUGGGUGGGGGUCACUUCUGUAGAAGUGUCUGCUGAAUCUCACCCACAGCUAUUUGCUGAUCACACCUCGUAUAUACUCCCUCUCACUUUUUGUCACAAUUAUGCACAUAUACGUAUCAUGUUAAAUUCAUACAUGUUACAUUGUGCAAGAAAUAUUCUUUAUCAUGGCUGGAAAUCCAGAGGUGUCAAUAGGUUGUGUGUUGAUUAGAUUGGCUGGGCCCAACUAUGUGAUGGAAAACAAUUAACCUUUGUUUGAAAGGGGAUAGUUAAUUUGCCUGACAAAUGUGUGACUUCCAAUAGAGUGCCUUACAAAAUGUUUGUAGAAGUAUCCUCCUGAUCCAUCCUUAGUCAAAGGUUCCCAUAUCAGUUGUCAGAAUGACACAGUUUAGUCUGUCAGAAUUAACUUUGUGUAUAUAUUUCCUUCUUUUUCCAGGGCGAUAUGAUCUCAGAUUGCCUCAGAUUAGAUGCAAAGCAUGUGAAGCCACUUGGAGUCCUGGAGUGGAUGACCUGAUCCGUAAUGACUACUGGCCUGCCACUUCUCACUAUUCAACUGUGUAUGCAACAGAUGUCCUUUUUUUCUUUUUGAAGAGCUGAAGAUGGCAGCACCAGGGAUGUCUAGCCAAGCAUUUCUUAGAAUGCUGGAUCAACGCACUGUUCGAUUUGGCCGUGUAAGUAUUUGUGGUAAUAAUUGCGUAACUCCAUAAAUAAUACUAUGAGGGCAUGAUGAUGAUGAUAGUACACAUGAACAUUUGCACUGUUUAGGAAAAAAGUUGUGUUCAAUUUAGACCCUUUAUAAACAACCAUAAACUCAUGUUCUCUCAUCAGCAGUUUGCACUGAGACAUUUCCACAGGUAAUUCUGAAGAUCUCAACUUCUACUCCAUUGGCUACAGACUUUGACAUCUUCUCCCCAAUAUCAUUUCCUGAUCCCAGAAGUGUUCCCUUGGAUUAAUGGCCCAAACACUGCACAGGCUUACUUCUAAACAAUAUUGUAGCUGUUGUAGCCCUCUUUGUGUAAAGAUUUAAACUGAAUGUCAAACAAUAUCCUGUAUUUUUAAUGGCCAGGUCCCCCAAAUACACCAGUGUAUAGUGUAUGAGUGAAGUCUACACAUUGUUUAUUUCCUUUGAUAUGUAUUCUAAGGAGUGGUUACGAAGUUAGUACAAACAUCCCAUAUGUAUCCAUUUAGAACAUUUUACUUCAGUGUAGUAUAUUGUUUAAUUUGAUCCGUUUUACUGUUCUCUUUUGUUCUCUUUUACUGAACUCUUCUUUGAAACAGAGUGGAAACAUCACAGCAGACAGCUUCCGGAAAAAGCUUCUUGGAGUGGGAAGCUGUCCGAUUCGAAAGUGGACAAAUUAUGCCAGGAGGACCACUUUGACUGCCCAGCGUGCAGCCCAGACAUGCUUGCAGUAUCCGUUGAUGGAAACCGUAAGCACUACAGAUUCAAGAGUGCAGCAAGGUACUGUGUGUGCAUUGACGGUCCAUUACUUUGAAAGUAACUGCUGUGAAUUGAAAAUCAUAUGAAUAUUUAAAGUUAAUAUGUAUCUCUUUUAUUUAGAUCGGAGGAAAAAGCCAUCUUUGAUGGCGUGUUCAUCGCAAAUGAUGAUGAUGUCGCAAGAUUCGUGGACUAUGUCCAUACCUCAACCAGUCAUGUAAACUUGCACAACUUCUCUAUAUUUACCUAUAAAAACACCACGUCCUACAGAGGACUUAGUUUGAACAAGUUUGGAAUGUUAAACAUCUUCCAUGUUUUUAGGUCUCUGGAAGAGGUGUCUGUGGAGGGCAAUGGUCAGCGGCGCGUGAAACUUCUCAGAAGUCCUCAGGAAAAACAGACGAGGAGGGCCUGGAACUCGCUGUAUGUCGUCAUGGGGUUCUCCUUCGUGCCCUCAAUAUGUUCAGGGGGGAGAUUUUUGCCUACCCCCUGUACCUCCAAAAGCAAAUGGCCUGUAAGCCAGUUAAAUUUUUUGCAAUGGAUGUGGCAUGCAAGUACUGGCCUUACCUCCAGAGAGUGACAGAGAAAUGCCCUGAGCUUGAGGAUCUCCUCACCAUGAGGCCAUUUCUUUCUGUUUUUCAUGCCAAAGCUCAUGAUUUCAAAUGUGAGGUAAGAAAAAAUGAUUGUCCAUGAUAUUUUCUUUCCCUAAAAAUCCUGCAUAAGAUUGUUGCCACUUAGGUUUUGUUUUUUUGUUUUCUUUUUUUAAAGGUAAAAUGGAGUGGAGCAUAUCAGGAGGGGCUGGUUCGACUCUUGGGGAAGAGGUGGAGCAGUGCAACGCCUUCCUCUCGAGGAUUGCUGUUACGACAAAGCACAUGUCAAAAAGCAGGUAAGGUAACCAGUAAAUUUUGAUCCUGAUGACAUGGGUGAGCCACUUAUGCAUACAUGCUGACUCUGAAAAUAUAAAGAUCAGAAUAUAUUAAACACAAAUGGAUGGAUCGAUUACAAUAACAUCAUCCUAUUUUAUUUGACGUGAGGAUAAUAAGGAAGGGCAGUGCGAUAUAAAAAAAACACAUCCAAGUACCAUUCACCUACUGUCCUGCCAUAGUGCUCCAUACCAUUU